UGUAUAAUGGGUCAGCGACUUAUAUUCUGUAGCAAGGUUAACCGAAUAGGGGAGCCGAAGGGAAACCGAGUCUUAACUGGGCGUUAAGUUGCAGGGUAUAGACCCGAAACCCGGUGAUCUAGCCAUGGGCAGGUUGAAGGUUGGGUAACACUAACUGGAGGACCGAACCGACUAAUGUUGAAAAAUUAGCGGAUGACUUGUGGCUGGGGGUGAAAGGCCAAUCAAACCGGGAGAUAGCUGGUUCUCCCCGAAAGCUAUUUAGGUAGCGCCUCGUGAAUUCAUCUCCGGGGGUAGAGCACUGUUUCGGCAAGGGGGUCAUCCCGACUUACCAACCCGAUGCAAACUGCGAAUACCGGAGAAUGUUAUCACGGGAGACACACGGCGGGUGCUAACGUCCGUCGUGAAGAGGGAAACAACCCAGACCGCCAGCUAAGGUCCCAAAGUCAUGGUUAAGUGGGAAACGAUGUGGGAAGGCCCAGACAGCCAGGAUGUUGGCUUAGAAGCAGCCAUCAUUUAAAGAAAGCGUAAUAGCUCACUGGUCGAGUCGGCCUGCGCGGAAGAUGUAACGGGGCUAAACCAUGCACCGAAGCUGCGGCAGCGACACUAUGUGUUGUUGGGUAGGGGAGCGUUCUGUAAGCCUGUGAAGGUGUACUGUGAGGUAUGCUGGAGGUAUCAGAAGUGCGAAUGCUGACAUAAGUAACGAUAAAGCGGGUGAAAAGCCCGCUCGCCGGAAGACCAAGGGUUCCUGUCCAACGUUAAUCGGGGCAGGGUGAGUCGACCCCUAAGGCGAGGCCGAAAGGCGUAGUCGAUGGGAAACAGGUUAAUAUUCCUGUACUUGGUGUUACUGCGAAGGGGGGACGGAGAAGGCUAUGUUGGCCGGGCGACGGUUGUCCCGGUUUAAGCGUGUAGGCUGGUUUUCCAGGCAAAUCCGGAAAAUCAAGGCUGAGGCGUGAUGACGAGGCACUACGGUGCUGAAGCAACAAAUGCCCUGCUUCCAGGAAAAGCCUCUAAGCAUCAGGUAACAUCAAAUCGUACCCCAAACCGACACAGGUGGUCAGGUAGAGAAUACCAAGGCGCUUGAGAGAACUCGGGUGAAGGAACUAGGCAAAAUGGUGCCGUAACUUCGGGAGAAGGCA
Molecule: ribosomal RNA, 1136 nt
Filed under: Escherichia coli
Lineage: Bacteria; Pseudomonadati; Pseudomonadota; Gammaproteobacteria; Enterobacterales; Enterobacteriaceae
Description: partial 23S ribosomal RNA
Rfam family: Bacterial large subunit ribosomal RNA
Source: RNAcentral